AAAAAAAAAAUUAGGAAAUGUUAGGCAUGUACUUACUAGUUAAAAAAAAAAAAAUAGGGCACAGAAGAGCCUGGCUAGACUUUGAUCAAGAAGAGAAUCUUUAUCAGAUAUACUGAUUUAUGAAAAAAUAUAGACCAAUCUGUACAAAAAAAUACACUAGGUAAAAGAAGUCUUACAGAAAAGGUAUAUUUAAAUGAACUCCUGGGACAGGUAAGACUAAGACAACUAAACAAAUCUAGGGUUAAGGAUUCAGCACAGUAUAGAUGAGGAAUGACUGAAAAGUUAUGAGAGGUUUCUGGGGUGAUGGUAAUGGUCUCUAAGAAUUCAGGCUGUGCAAGUGUAUUUAACUGUCACAACUUAGAAUGGUAUAAGAUUUGUGUAUUUCAUUGUAUAUUAAUAACAAUGAAAGAACAGUAAAUGGUGGGGGGGGGGAUAUAGCUCAGUGGUAGAGCACUUGCCUGGCAUACAUGAGGCCAUAGGUUCAAUCUCCAGUGGAGCGGGGGCGGGAAGGGGGACAUCAGUAAACAUUGAACUCUGGUCAAGGAUAUGUAUACUGAAUGUUUAGAGAAACAAUAUUGAGAGCUGCAGUAAAUACAUCAGAUAUCAAACUGAAGUAAUGAAUGCUUAAUAGAUGUUCAGCAGCUAGUGUGGGUAUACAAGUGUUCACAACUCCUUCAGCCUGUAUGUUUGCAAAUUUUUAUGAUAUAAUGUUGGGAAAGAAGAAAGUAGUGUGAGUUUUCGCUUAGGAAACAUUCCUAAUCUUUCCUAACAUAAGUAGGGAGGCAUGUGCAAGUGCAGAUAGGAAAGCAGGUAGAAACAAGUGACUUGUCUGGAGAUGCCAUGUAAUAACUAGGGGAAUCCAUGCUGAGGCCUUCUAAUUCCUACUGCAGUGCUCUUGCCAUAAUAUGUCAUUUUCCCUUUUUUCCCAUUUUUCAAGUCAUUUUCCCUUUUUUUUUUUUUCUGGGUACUGGAGAUUGAACCCAGGACCUUCAAACUAAGCUACAUCCCCAGCCCUUUUACUUUUUAAAAUUUUUAUUUUGAGACAAGGUCUUGCUAAGUUGCUAAAUUGCCAAGGCUGGGUUCAAACUUGGCAACUCCUGCCUCAGCCUCCCAGAGUGCUGGGAUCACAGGUUUGCAACAUGUCCAGCCACUUCACUUUUUGUUUGAGUUUUACAACAGUAUCAUUGAGCAAACAGGGAUUAUUACACCUAUAAUCCCAGCUACUUGGGAGUCUGAGGCAGGUGGACUAAUUCAAGUCCAGUCUGGGCAACUUAGCAAGACCCUGUCUCAAAAAUAAAAAAUAGUAAGAGUUGGGAAUGUGGCUCUGUGCCAGGCACUGGGUUCAAAUGCCAGUACCUCAAAAAAAGAAAAAAAAAAAACCAUAGGCGUUGAGGUGUAUUACCACCCAGCUGGCCAGGGCUAGGAACAGGCUGAGAAGCCAGGUAGGUGUUCUGUUUCCUGCUUCAUCACAUCAUUGCCUGCAGGUUCCAGUUUGCCCAAGGCUUUUGUGUGGGAUGAGGGUUGUGGUUCUGAGGAGCCUCUGCCCUGUAUUUUCUCCUGGGUUGUGUUUCCACUCAAUCUUCUCUGGUGGAUUUUCUGGCUGACCAGCCCAGUUUCUGUUUCAGUGUCCCGCUGCCAACCGCCCCUGGUACCUCGUGCCUUCCAUGCUUCAGCCGUGCGACUAAGGUCUUCAGAGGAGCAGAAGCAGCAACCUCCCCCCUCUUUUUCUGAGCAGCUUUCUGAGACACAGGGGACAGAAAAACCCGAUGCAGAAUCUUCUCGCCCACCCCCCAGGUACACAGACCAGAGCGGGGAGGAGGAGGAGGACAG
Non-coding RNA from Heterocephalus glaber (naked mole-rat), 1830 nucleotides. The record is from RefSeq and is a predicted model, not a curated record. NCBI's taxonomy places the organism in Eukaryota, Metazoa, Chordata, Mammalia, Rodentia, Bathyergidae.